RNAcentral lists this ribosomal RNA (1005 nucleotides) under Triticum aestivum (bread wheat). Its description in RNAcentral is "partial small subunit ribosomal RNA". Lineage: Eukaryota; Viridiplantae; Streptophyta; Magnoliopsida; Poales; Poaceae. The record is from RNAcentral.
AUGGCCGACGUGGCCCUCGGAGUGGCGCAGUGGGUGGUGGCCAAGGCGCUAGCCCCUGUCGCAGAUGGUGUGCUGGAGGCUUGGGCGGCCAGCAGGAACUUUGGUCCCAACAUCGAGGCCCUCAGGAUGGAACUGCUGGUCGUGCAAGCGACGCUCGAAAACGCUACUCGCAAGGAGCUCGGUGGCCCGGCCAUGGAGAUGUUGUUGGAGAAGCUGCGGAAAUUGGCACACAAUGCCGAAGACUUGUUGGACGAGCUGGACUACUUCCGCAUCCACGAUGAGCUCCAUGGCACGUACGAUACAGCCGACCAACAUGGCGAGGGUGGCGUCCACGACCUCGCCCUCAAUGCGCGCCACACUGCCAAAGCUGUUGGCAAACUGGUCAACUGUUUCCCUUGGCAGCGUGCUAAACGCCGGCAGAGGUCACCUGCCGAUUCCUCCUCGGCGGCAAGCGCAAAUCAGGAGGUCAGCGGAUGCAUGCCCAAGCUCGGUAAACUCCUUCCCUUCUCAUCUUCCCCAGAUUCACAUGUUCGUGAGGAAGAUUGUGGUAAUGUGCAAGAAACACCAAUUCUUGGGUUUAAUAGGGUUGAUUUCUCUCAAAAGAUGAAGGACAUAGUAGAGAAUUUACAGCUUGUGCGUGAGGAUGUUAAUGGCCUUCUGCAGAGUUGUGGCCCUAGAAAUGCCUCAAACAUUGUCCAGUGCCGACCUAUCACCAAAGGUGGAAUUUAUGAGCCAAAACUAUACGGGAGGGAUCUUGUCAUGAAUAGCAUCAUAGAUGACAUCACCAAGGGUCGACAUUGUGAUAAGGGUGUAACUGUGCUUCCAGUUGUUGGUUUGGGGGGAAUGGGGAAGACAACUCUCAUACAACACAUAUAUCGCAAUCAGCGAGUGUUGAGUCAUUUUCCAGUCAUGAUUUGGAUAUGUGUGUCACUCAAUUUCAAUCUGGAUAAUGUGCUAGAACAGAUCAAAACAUAUACCCCUCAAGUCGAAAGUGAAAAGGAGUAG